This 736-nucleotide ribosomal RNA is filed under the name uncultured bacterium. RNAcentral's name for it is "bacterial SSU rRNA". It matches the Rfam family "Bacterial small subunit ribosomal RNA", at positions 129 to 865 of the family's 1533-position model. The record is from RNAcentral.
CCUCUUACUGGGGGAUAGCCCGAGGAAACUCGGAUUAAUACUCCAUAAUAUCCUGAAUUCGCAUGUUUUCAGGAUUAAAGCUCCGGCGGUAAGAGAUGGGCAUGCGUGCCAUUAGCUUGUUGGUGAGGUAACGGCUCACCAAGGCUGCGAUGGCUAGGGGGCCUGAGAGGGUAAUCCCCCACACUGGUACUGAGACACGGACCAGACUCCUACGGGAGGCAGCAGUGAGGAAUAUUGGGCAAUGGACGAAAGUCUGACCCAGCCAUGCCGCGUGCAGGAUGAAGGCCCUAUGGGUUGUAAACUGCUUUUUUACGGGAAGAAAUGUUCCGACGUGUCGGAAUUCGACGGUACCGUAGGAAUAAGCAUCGGCUAACUCCGUGCCAGCAGCCGCGGUAAUACGGAGGAUGCAAGCGUUAUCCGGAUUUAUUGGGUUUAAAGGGUGCGUAGGCGGAAUAGUAAGUCAGUGGUGAAAUCUUGCGGCUCAACCGUAAAAUUGCCUCUGAUACUGGUAUUCUUGAGUGCAGUUGAGGUAGGCGGAAUGUGUAAUGUAGCGGUGAAAUGCAUAGAUAUUACACAGAACACCAAUUGCGAAGGCAGCUUACUAAACUGUUACUGACGCUGAGGCACGAAAGCGUGGGGAGCAAACAGGAUUAGAUACCCUGGUAGUCCACGCUGUAAACGAUGAUCACUCGCUGUUGGCGAUAAACAGUCAGCGGCUAACGUAAAAGCAUUAAGU